This 58-nucleotide transfer RNA is filed under the name Pteropus alecto (black flying fox). It matches the Rfam family "tRNA", at positions 8 to 63 of the family's 71-position model. From Rfam's summary of the family: Transfer RNA (tRNA) molecules are approximately 80 nucleotides in length. Their secondary structure includes four short double-helical elements and three loops (D, anti-codon, and T loops). Further hydrogen bonds mediate the characteristic L-shaped molecular structure. tRNAs have two regions of fundamental functional importance: the anti-codon, which is responsible for specific mRNA codon recognition, and the 3' end, to which the tRNAs corresponding amino acid is attached (by aminoacyl-tRNA synthetases). tRNAs cope with the degeneracy of the genetic code in two manners: having more than one tRNA (with a specific anti-codon) for a particular amino acid; and 'wobble' base-pairing, i.e. permitting non-standard base-pairing at the 3rd anti-codon position. Lineage: Eukaryota; Metazoa; Chordata; Mammalia; Chiroptera; Pteropodidae. The record is from Rfam by way of RNAcentral.
UAGUGUAGUGGUUAGCAUGUCUGCUUUACAUGCAGAAGGUCCUGGGUUUGCGCCCCAG